CAGUAACUGUUAACACAUGGGAAGUUGACUGGUUGUGACAGACAGUGGGGAAAUCGGUGUGCAUACAAACUGGGAACAGAACCUGGACUCCCGAGGCCGGUCCUGGUUCUCAGAGUGAGGAUGUGCCGUCACCACGGAGCCAAGCAUGAAAUUUUGGGUCCCUCUCUGCCUCAGCAUAAUUCGUUCUCUGAAGGGACCACUAGCACAGCUGAGAAGUGCUUUAAGUCUGAGCACCACCGCGGAGACAAAGUACGGCUGGAGGACGAGUAUCAGUGCUGAGUCUGAUCUGCACACACUGAAGAUGCCCCCCAGGUCAUCUGGGUAUGAAACAGCUGCAAUCCGCAACGGCCCUGGGAGAAACCACUGAAGAGUGCCCUUCAGCAUCCACAGCAAGAAAAUCAGGCCACAGAAAGCUGUAAAGAGCCUUGGGAUGGAGACUGAGAAGAGGCAGGACCACCUCUGACAUUUACGUCAGUAGUGAGAAUCAGGUGGACUGAUGAAACCUCUAGUAAACCAAAGGCACCCUACACCUACGAUAGUUGUUAAGAUGUGCACAGACGUAGGAUUGACCCACAUCAAACCAUCAGAGGAAGCAUGCAGAGAUGCAGCAUGCACAUGACUCUCUAGGCCUCAGUUUCCUCACUAGUAAAAGAGACAACUUUAAUGAGUUGGUAUAUGCAAAUGAGUUAUGUACAAAUGAAAUGAGGUAUGCAAAUGAGUUGAUGUACAUAAAUGAGUUGAUACAUGCAAAUGAUUGAUGUAUGUGAAUGUAUUACGUAUGUAAAUGAGCUGUUGUAUGUAAUGCACUCAGAACAGUACUCAGUACCCAGCCCUAGGGAAGAAUUUUCAAAUAUCAAUGCUGAGUCAGAAUUACAGGUAAGAAGUGGUUCACACGGUUCUUGUCACAAAGAGUGACCCAACCUGGCCCCUUAGAAAACAGUUUCCUAACCUAGUUUUUGUGUGCAGAUGACUGCCGUUCUCAUUUCAGGUUUGCUCCUAUCCCAGGGAAGAGGGGAGGUACACACACCAAAUGGCUUCCCUCUGUAUCGGUAGCUGCCCAGGCUGUUCCCCAAAUGUCCAACUUGUCUCACCCACCCACCUACUUACUGUUGAUUUGUGCCUGCGCUAUUGCUGUUUCAUUAUUAAUAAGCCAAGAUGAAGCUGGAAAUUGCUUUGUGCUGUUGAAUUUCAGCACUGCCUCCUGUCUGUCUAAUGCCCCUCGUGAUAAACAGCCACCCAUAGGCUGAAAAGGUUCCCAGCUCCCAGGUCACCUGGUGACUGGCCUCCGGGGUAGCACUUGUCCUGUCUCUGAGGCACUUUGGUUUCUCCUAAGGGGUCUGGGGCCACCUUCUGUUCCUCACAUCUGCACAGGCUGCUAUCAGUCAGGUGUCCCAUGGGGCUAGAAGGGGCAUGGCCUGUAUCACACCUUAGCACGGCUCCCCUUAGGGGCUGCAAUUUUGGAGGUGAGACCGCCCAAAUCCAGAAUCUUUUCUCUCCAGAGCACACACACGGGAGUCUGCGGAGGCUGUCCCUGUGCUGUGGGGACAGAGAGUGAGGGGCAGUGAUGAGAGUGCGAGGAGCGGAGGGGAGUCUUCAGUGGAGG
Molecule: long non-coding RNA, 1603 nt
Filed under: Homo sapiens (human)
Lineage: Eukaryota; Metazoa; Chordata; Mammalia; Primates; Hominidae
Description: HSALNT0299573
Source: RNAcentral